Non-coding RNA from Phascolarctos cinereus (koala), 1079 nucleotides. The record is from RefSeq and is a predicted model, not a curated record. Lineage: Eukaryota; Metazoa; Chordata; Mammalia; Diprotodontia; Phascolarctidae.
ACAUUUCUCAGAUUCAUCGACUUUCCAAGUCCUUUGGCCUUGAAGGAACUUCCAUACUGCACUUGGUGCCUGUGGUGAAGGAGACUGAGAAGGAGGAGGAAGGUAUAAUCAAAGAUUUCAGCUAAACUAUGAGCUGGUCUCAGCGGAGCGAAGCAUUCAGUGGACAUCAGUGAGCAGUGUUGAACAGAGAUCGUUGUCUAGGUAUCAGCAUUCUGGAGGAUCUGUUUGACAGCAUGUAGUGGAGACUGUAAAAUGAGAAGGAGCAGGCCCAAACAGGGGACACCAGAAGACUGGUGGGUCCUGGCAAGGCACAGUGCUAUGGGCUGAGGAUAUGAGUCAGAAGAAAUGGAAUUGUAGAUAAAGAAAAAAAAGAAAAAAAAAACCGCUUCCCGCCCUCAGCAAGUUUACAUUCUCUGGAAGAGGGACAAGACUGUGGUACUAUGUUCUUCAUGUGUGGGUGAAGAAGUGCCUCGGCUGAGAAAAUGCUAAGCCAUAACACUGAAUACCUGCCCAAAUGAAGAAGGGAUUCUUCAGAUGGUUCAAGGACUUCAGGAGAGGAAGUUGUCAUAGAGAAAAAUGUGGACUUUUGAAGUGGUAAUAGGAAUCAGCAUAGCCACAGACACGUGAGGAGCCAGGCACCAAUAUGUCUCUUCACUUCUAGUGCUUGCAACCUUAGAGACUGCUAAGAACCAGCUUUCCCUAGAUGAGAUCAUUCUUUCUCCUGGUUUGAGCUGAGAUGUUAUCUUGUUUCCAGCUGCAAAGCCCAUUUACUCUUGUGUGUUCUUUGGUUCAUUCUAACCUGUGUAAUAUCUCUGAGUUCUGUUUACUGCUUAUGUUGAAAAAGAAAUGUUCUAGCUCUAUUCACAAGGGUCUUUUGUGUAAUUAUCAUUGGGUGGGAAGGAACUAAAUUGACAAUAUCAAGCUACCUUCCCCUUGAGAGUGACCAGGACAAAUGGCCCUGGUCUUGAAGCCUUAAAAUACUGUACCUCCGGACAAGCAAUAUUUGAGAUGUAGCGGAUGCCUCUCUUGGACAGAGGAGAGAGAAAGAGCAGGUGCAUAGCCACUGUCCCCAUCCUCCC